GGCGCCCAGCAAUGAAGAUGCUUCGCUUGUUGACCGCUCGACUUUCGAAGUACUGUUCGUGCAGCCAAUUGGAACGAGAAGAUCAAGUUUCCAAGCGAAUUCCCCAAUCACCGAGAGCUGUCGAUUCAACCAAAGGAAACACUGGCAUACGGGGAGUACGCAGAGAGGAUACUGAACAAGCAUUACGAGGAGGCAAGAACAUCUGAACAUGAAGCACGCCUUUAUGCCUAAGGAGAACGUACUCCAGAUACUGUGCAGAAGCAACCUGAAGCGAAGUGAAUCACCGCUCCACUGUGCAUUUGUGUUUGUGGGUCUGUGUCUUGUGCCCAAGUCCUUUCUGUCCUUUUUUUUUGAACUAACAAGUCCUUUUUUGUCUUUCAUUUGUUCAAACUGCGCCUGCUCCUGAGGCUGUAGAGUGUCCAGAGCAGAUGUUUCUCUGAACCUUUGUUAGUUAAACUGGU
Long non-coding RNA from Setaria italica (foxtail millet), 461 nucleotides. RefSeq lists it as uncharacterized. The record is from RefSeq and is a predicted model, not a curated record. Lineage: Eukaryota; Viridiplantae; Streptophyta; Magnoliopsida; Poales; Poaceae. The transcript is spliced from 3 exons.